This 492-nucleotide ribosomal RNA is filed under the name uncultured bacterium. RNAcentral describes it as "partial 16S ribosomal RNA". It matches the Rfam family "Bacterial small subunit ribosomal RNA", at positions 30 to 507 of the family's 1533-position model. The record is from RNAcentral.
AUUGAACGCUGGCGGCAUGCUUUACACAUGCAAGUCGAACGGUAACAGGCCUUCGGGUGCUGACGAGUGGCGAACGGGUGAGUAAUGCAUCGGAACGUGCCCAGAGGUGGGGGAUAACGCAGCGAAAGCUGUGCUAAUACCGCAUGUGAUCUGAGGAUGAAAGCGGGGGACCAGGCAGCAAUGUUUGGCCUCGCGCCUUUGGAGCGGCCGAUGUCAGAUUAGGUAGUUGGUGGGGUAAAGGCCUACCAAGCCGACGAUCUGUAGCUGGUCUGAGAGGACGACCAGCCACACUGGUACUGAGACACGGCCCAGACUCCUACGGGAGGCAGCAGUGGGGGAUUUUGUUGAAUGGGCGCAAGCCUGAUGCAGCAAUGCCGCGGGCGGGAAGAAGGCCUUCGGGUUGUAAACCGCUUUUGUACGGAACGAAAAGGCUCUGGCUAAUACCUGGGGCUGAUGACGGUACCGUAAGAAUAAGCACCGGCUAACUACGUG